Molecule: ribosomal RNA, 443 nt
Filed under: uncultured bacterium
Lineage: Bacteria
Description: partial 16S ribosomal RNA
Rfam family: Bacterial small subunit ribosomal RNA
Source: RNAcentral
CCUACGGGUGGCAGCAGUGGGGAAUAUUGGGCAAUGGGCGCAAGCCUGACCCAGCAACGCCGCGUGAAGGAAGAAGGCUUUCGGGUUGUAAACUUCUUUUCUCAGGGACGAAGAAAGUGACGGUACCGGAGGAAUAAGCCACGGCUAACUACGUGCCAGCAGCCGCGGUAAUACGUAGGUGGCAAGCGUUAUCCGGAUUUACUGGGUGUAAAGGGCGUGUAGGCGGGACUGCAAGUCAGAUGUGAAAACCACGGGCUCAACCUGUGGGCUGCAUUUGAAACUGUAGUUCUUGAGUAAUGGAGAGGCAGACGGAAUUCCUAGUGUAGCGGUGAAAUGCGUAGAUAUUAGGAGGAACACCAGUGGCGAAGGCGGUCUGCUGGACAGCAACUGACGCUGAGGCGCGAAAGCGUGGGGAGCAAACAGGAUUAGAUACCCUGGUAGUC